Molecule: long non-coding RNA, 160 nt
Organism: Homo sapiens (human)
Lineage: Eukaryota; Metazoa; Chordata; Mammalia; Primates; Hominidae
Exons: 3
Source: RefSeq, a predicted model, not a curated record
UCCUGCUCCAGGCUUUGGCCAGUGGAAAUGUCACAAAAAUGAGUCUCCUGCCUUGACUUUAAAAGGACAAGGUCCCUUGAGGCACUCCAAGAUGUUUUCUACCAAAGGUAAUGUGGAGGAUCCUUUCACUGAAAGUAAAGAUGGAGUCUCACUCUCGUCG